Molecule: ribosomal RNA, 478 nt
Filed under: uncultured bacterium
Lineage: Bacteria
Description: partial 16S ribosomal RNA
Rfam family: Bacterial small subunit ribosomal RNA
Source: RNAcentral
GACGAACGCUGGCGGCAUGCCUAACACAUGCAAGUCGAGCGAGUAGAUCCCUUCGGGGUGAAGCUAGCGGCGGACGGGUGAGUAACACGUGGGCAACCUGCCUCAUAGAGGGGAAUAGCCUUCCGAAAGGAAGAUUAAUACCGCAUAAGAUUGUAGUACCGCAUGGUAUAGCAAUUAAAGGAGUAAUCCGCUAUGAUAUGGGCCCGCGGCGCAUUAGCUAGUUGGUGAGGUAACGGCUCACCAAGGCGACGAUGCGUAGCCGGCCGGGGAGGGGGAUCGGCCACAUUGGGGCUGGGACACGGCCCAGACUCCUACGGGAGGCAGCAGUGGGGAGUAUUGCACAAUGGGGGAAACCCUGAUGCAGCAAUGCCGCGUGAGUGAUGACGGCCUUCGGGUUGUAAAGCUCUGUCUUCGGGGACGAUAAUGACGGUACCCGAGGAGGAAGCCACGGCUAACUACGUGCCAGCAGCCGCCGUAA